AUUGAACGCUGGCGGCAUGCCUUACACAUGCAAGUCGAACGGCAGCACGGGUGCUUGCACCUGGUGGCGAGUGGCGAACGGGUGAGUAAUAUAUCGGAACGUACCUUAUUGUGGGGGAUAACGCAGCGAAAGCUGUGCUAAUACCGCAUAAUCCCUAAGGGGGAAAGCGGGGGACCGUAAGGCCUCGCGCAAUUAGAGCGGCCGAUACCUGAUUAGCUAGUUGGUGAGGUAAAGGCUCACCAAGGCAACGAUCAGUAGCCGGUCUGAGAGGACGAGCAGCCACACUGGGACGGAGGCACGGCCCAGACUCCGACGGGAGGCAGCAGUGGGGAGUUUUGGAAAAUGGGGGCAACCCUGAUCCAGCAAUGCCGCGUGAGUGAAGAAGGCCUUCGGGUUGUAAAGCUCUUUUGUCAGGGAAGAAACAGCAGCUCUAACACAGUUUGCGAAUGACGGUACCUGAAGAAUAAGCACCGGCUAACUACGUGCCAGCCGCCGCGGUAA
Molecule: ribosomal RNA, 501 nt
Filed under: uncultured bacterium
Lineage: Bacteria
Description: partial 16S ribosomal RNA
Rfam family: Bacterial small subunit ribosomal RNA
Source: RNAcentral